Molecule: long non-coding RNA, 232 nt
Filed under: Capsicum annuum
Lineage: Eukaryota; Viridiplantae; Streptophyta; Magnoliopsida; Solanales; Solanaceae
Description: long non-coding RNA (CANN_LNC006847)
Source: RNAcentral
UCGAAUAAGACAUGAUGCUUCAUCUGGUGUACUCAGUUGUUGCACCCACAUAAGCGGCCAUUUGGGUUCCUUAAGAGGAGGUUUGAUAAAUUGCCCAAUUAACCUCUUAAAUGGUCAGGAUAGCCUAGUCAAACAUCACUAAAUAAGAACCCUUACCACUGAAUCAGUAGCCACUAAAGCAUCAAGGAACAACUUAAGUGGUACAUAUGUAGUCGACCAAAUGUCGCUAAAG